AGACCGGUUGAUCCUGCCGGAGGGGACCCCUAGCGGGCUCGCACUAAGCCAUGCAAGUCGGCUGGGGGCCAUUCCGCCCCUGGCGGCGCACGGCUCAGUAAUACACGGUCAACCUACCCUGGGGACCGGGAUAACCUCGGGAAACUGAGGCUAAUCCCGGAUAGGGGCCGGGUACUGGAAUGUCCCGGCCCCGAAAGUAGGCGGGGGGAGCCCCGCUGAGGCCCCAGGAUGGGACCGUGGCCUAUCAGGUAGUAGGUGGGGUAACGGCCCACCUAGCCUGAGACGGGUGCGGGCGGUGGGAGCCGGAGCCCGGAGAUGGGCACUGAGACAAGGGCCCAGGCCCUAAGGGGCGCAGCAGGCGGGAAACUUCCGCAAUGCGCGAAAGCGUGACGGAGUGAGCCCGCGUGCCGCCCGCUGAGGGCGGCUGUCCCCGGGUGUAAACAGCCCGGGACAGGAAGGGGAGGGCAAGGCUGGUGCCAGCCGCCGCGGUAAAACCAGCUCCUCGAGGGGUCCCCACGCAUACUGGGCCUAAAGCGUCCGUAGCCGGCCCCGCAAGUCCUCGGUUAAAUCCACCGGAAGACCGGUGGGCUGCCGGGGAUACUGCGGGGCUAGGGAGCGGGAGGGGCCGGGGGUAUUCCGGGGGGGGCGGUAAAAUGCGUAGAUCCCCGGAGGACCACCGGUGGCGAAGGCGCCCGGCUGGAACGCGUCCGACGGUGAGGGACGAAAGCUGGGGGAGCAAACCGGAUUAGAUACCCGGGUAGUCCCAGCCGUAAACGAUGCCGGCUAGGUGCCGGCCGAGGUUUCGGCCUCGGCC
This 814-nucleotide ribosomal RNA is filed under the name Thermoproteota archaeon. RNAcentral describes it as "bacterial SSU rRNA". It matches the Rfam family "Archaeal small subunit ribosomal RNA", at positions 1 to 796 of the family's 1478-position model. Lineage: Archaea; Thermoproteati; Thermoproteota. The record is from RNAcentral.